This 1482-nucleotide ribosomal RNA is filed under the name metagenome. RNAcentral describes it as "bacterial LSU rRNA". It matches the Rfam family "Bacterial large subunit ribosomal RNA", at positions 1464 to 2925 of the family's 2925-position model. The record is from RNAcentral.
GGGGGGUGACGCAGGAAGGUAACCCAACCCAGGCGAUGGUUGACCUGGGGUAAGGAUGUAGGGCGAGAUGUAGGCAAAUCCGCAUCUCACGUGCCUGAGAUCUGACGCCGAGCCGAUUCAGGUGAAGUGGGUAAUCCUAUGCUGCCAAGAAAAGCCUCUAGCGAGUGUUAAAGCCGCCCGUACCCCAAACCGACACAGGUGGUCAGGUAGAGAAUACUAAGGCGAUCGAGAUAACUAUGGUUAAGGAACUCGGCAAAAUGCCCCCGUAACUUCGGGAGAAGGGGGGCCCGUUCUGGUGAGGAGAUUUACUCUCCGAGCUGGGAUUGGCCGCAGAGACCAGGCCCAAGCGACUGUUUACUAAAAACACAGGUCCAUGCUAAGUCGCAAGACGCUGUAUAUGGACUGACGCCUGCCCGGUGCUGGAACGUUAAGGGGACGGGUUAGCGACUUCGGUCGCGAAGCUCAGAACUUAAGCGCCAGUAAACGGCGGUGGUAACUAUAACCAUCCUAAGGUAGCGAAAUUCCUUGUCGGGUAAGUUCCGACCUGCACGAAUGGCGUAACGACUUGGGCGCUGUCUCAACCGUAGACUCGGCGAAAUUGCACUACGAGUAAAGAUGCUCGUUACGCGCGGCAGGACGAAAAGACCCCGGGACCUUUACUACAGCUUGGUAUUGGUGGUCGAUUCGAUUUGUGUAGGAUAGGUGGGAGACUGUGAACUUCGGACGCCAGUUCGAAGGGAGUCAUCGUUGAAAUACCACUCUGAUCGUAUUGGCUGUCUAACCUAGAUCCGUAAUCCGGAUCAGGGACAGUGCCUGGUGGGUAGUUCAACUGGGGCGGUUGCCUCCUAAAAUGUAACGGAGGCGCUCAAAGGUUCCCUCAGCCUGGUUGGCAAUCAGGUAUCGAGUGUAAGUGCACAAGGGAGCUUGACUGUGAGACUGACGGGUCGAGCAGGGACGAAAGUCGGAACUAGUGAUCCGGCGCUGGCAAGUGGAAGCGGCGUCGCUCAACGGAUAAAAGGUACCCCGGGGAUAACAGGCUGAUCUUGCCCAAGAGUCCAUAUCGACGGCAUGGUUUGGCACCUCGAUGUCGGCUCGUCGCAUCCUGGGGCUGGAGUAGGUCCCAAGGGUUGGGCUGUUCGCCCAUUAAAGCGGCACGCGAGCUGGGUUUAGAACGUCGUGAGACAGUUCGGUCCCUAUCCGCCGCGCGCGUAAGAGUCUUGAGAAGAUCUGUCCCUAGUACGAGAGGACCGGGAUGGACGAACCUCUGGUGUGUCAGUUGUCCUGCCAAGGGCACUGCUGAUUAGCUACGUUCGGAAGAGAUAACCGCUGAAAGCAUCUAAGCGGGAAACUCGCUUCAAGAUGAGGGCUCUCACAGGGUUAACCUGGUAAGGCCCCCAGUAGACCACUGGGUUGAUAGGCCGGAAGUGGAAGUGCGGUAACGCAUGCAGCUGACCGGUACUAAUAGGCCGAGGACUUGACCUU